ACCUGAGGAAUAGCUCAGUUGGUAGAGUAUGAGACUUUUAAUCUCAGGGUUGUGGGUUCAAGCCCCACAUUGGGUG
This is a non-coding RNA of Podarcis lilfordi (Lilford's wall lizard), 76 nucleotides long. The record is from the annotation of a GenBank genome assembly. NCBI's taxonomy places the organism in Eukaryota, Metazoa, Chordata, Lepidosauria, Squamata, Lacertidae.